This 534-nucleotide ribosomal RNA is filed under the name Lodderomyces parapsilosis. RNAcentral describes it as "Candida parapsilosis partial large subunit ribosomal RNA". It matches the Rfam family "Eukaryotic large subunit ribosomal RNA", at positions 108 to 658 of the family's 3401-position model. The record is from RNAcentral. Lineage: Eukaryota; Fungi; Ascomycota; Pichiomycetes; Serinales; Debaryomycetaceae.
CUCAAAUUUGAAAUCUGGCACUUUCAGUGUCCGAGUUGUAAUUUGAAGAAGGUAUCUUUGGGUCUGGCUCUUGUCUAUGUUUCUUGGAACAGAACGUCACAGAGGGUGAGAAUCCCGUGCGAUGAGAUGUCCCAGACCUAUGUAAAGUUCCUUCGAAGAGUCGAGUUGUUUGGGAAUGCAGCUCUAAGUGGGUGGUAAAUUCCAUCUAAAGCUAAAUAUUGGCGAGAGACCGAUAGCGAACAAGUACAGUGAUGGAAAGAUGAAAAGAACUUUGAAAAGAGAGUGAAAAAGUACGUGAAAUUGUUGAAAGGGAAGGGCUUGAGAUCAGACUUGGUAUUUUGUAUGUUACUCUCUCGGGGGUGGCCUCUACAGUUUACCGGGCCAGCAUCAGUUUGAGCGGUAGGAUAAGUGCAAAGAAAUGUGGCACUGCUUCGGUAGUGUGUUAUAGUCUUUGUCGAUACUGCCAGCUUAGACUGAGGACUGCGGCUUCGGCCUAGGAUGUUGGCAUAAUGAUCUUAAGUCGCCCGUCUUGAA